GAUGAACGCUAGCGGCAGGCCUAAUACAUGCAAGUCGAGGGGCAGCAGGAAUAGCAAUAUUUGCUGGCGACCGGCGCACGGGUGCGUAACACGUAUACAAUCUACCUUUAACUGGGGGAUAGCCCGGAGAAAUCCGGAUUAAUACCCCAUAACAGUAGGAGAGGCAUCUCUCUUAUUUGAAAGUUCCGACGGUUAGAGAUGAGUAUGCGCCUGAUUAGUUUGUUGGUGAGGUAACGGCUCACCAAGACUACGAUCAGUAGGGGAUCUGAGAGGAUUAACCCCCACACGGAUACUGAGACACGGAUCCGACUCCUACGGGAGGCAGCAGUAAGGAAUAUUGGACAAUGGGCGCAAGCCUGAUCCAGCCAUGCCGCGUGCAGGAAGAAGGCCCUAUGGGUCGUAAACUGCUUUUACACCGGAGAAAACCCCCUUUCGUGAAAGGGGCUGAUAGUAUGGUGAGAAUAAGCAUCGGCUAACUUCGUGCCAGCAGCCGCGGUAAA
Molecule: ribosomal RNA, 500 nt
Filed under: uncultured bacterium
Lineage: Bacteria
Description: bacterial SSU rRNA
Rfam family: Bacterial small subunit ribosomal RNA
Source: RNAcentral